CAGUCGCCACGGGAAUACAGAGGGUGCGAGCGUUAAUCGGAUUUACUGGGCGUAAAGCGUGCGUAGGCGGCUUCUUAAGUCGGAUGUGAAAUCCCUGAGCUUAACUUAGGAAUUGCAUUCGAUACUGGGAAGCUAGAGUAUGGGAGAGGAUGGUAGAAUUCCAGGUGUAGCGGUGAAAUGCGUAGAGAUCUGGAGGAAUACCGAUGGCGAAGGCAGCCAUCUGGCCUAAUACUGACGCUGAGGUACGAAAGCAUGGGGAGCAAACAGGAUUAGAUACCCGCGUAGUCCCUGUCUCUUAUAA
This 301-nucleotide ribosomal RNA is filed under the name uncultured bacterium. Its description in RNAcentral is "partial 16S ribosomal RNA". It matches the Rfam family "Bacterial small subunit ribosomal RNA", at positions 509 to 809 of the family's 1533-position model. The record is from RNAcentral.